This 1903-nucleotide long non-coding RNA is filed under the name Salmo salar (Atlantic salmon). RNAcentral's name for it is "lncRNA (ENSSSAG00000122063.1)". Lineage: Eukaryota; Metazoa; Chordata; Actinopteri; Salmoniformes; Salmonidae. The record is from RNAcentral.
GGAAGAUCAAGAGCUGUAGUCUCAGAUGAGAUUAGGGCUACUAUAAUUGAUCAUGUUAUAAAUCAUGGUCUAUCAAUGAGAGAGGCUUAUCUGAGAGUGCAGCCAAAUCUGCUACUCUCAACGGUGCUAUCUAUUGUGAGAGAUUUCUGGCAAAACAACAGGCGAGAUGUGCAUUCUGCAAGGGCAGCUGACUGAACUGCCCAUUACAGAAGUAAAUUGAGCAAAGCCUCCAAACCUACUUGUGUGUAAUUGUUUUUGUAUUUCUGCUUAGAACCCAACGGUUACCUCCCACAGGCGGGAGAGGUAGGAUUUUCACUGCUGUGCAGGAAACUGCAAUCGUUGAUAUGGUCAUCAGAAACAAUGGCAUAAAACUGACAGAGAUUCGGGACAGAGUGUUGGCAGACAACAUUACAUUUGGAAAUAUUCACAAUGUAAGCAUAACAACUAUUUCUAGAGUCCUGAAACAACAUCAAGUCAGGAUGAAGCAGUUGUACACUGUCCCCUUUGAGAGGAACUCUGAACGAGUCAAGCAACUCAGGAACCAAUAUGUCCAGGACCUGAGCCCUAGGACCAUGCCUCAGGACUACCUGACAUGAUGACUCCUUGCUGUCCCCAGUCCACCUGGCCGUGCUGCUGCUCCAGUUUCAACUGUUCUGCCUGCGGCUAUGGAACCCUGACCUGUUCACCGGACGUGCUACCUGUCCCAGACCUGCUGUUUUCAACUCUCUAGAGACAGCAGGAGUGGUAGAAAUACUCUCAAUGAUCGGCUAUGAAAAGCCAACUAACAUUUACUCUUGAGGUGCUGACUUGUUGCACUCUCGACAACUGUGAUUAUUAUUAUUUGACCAUGCUGGUCAUUUAUGAACAUUUGAACAUCUUGGCCAUGUUCUGUUAUAAUCUCCACCCGGCACAGCCAGAAGAGGACUGGCCACCCCUCAUAGCCUGGUUCCUCUCUAGGUUUCUUCCAAGGUUUUGGCCUUUCUAGGGAGUUUUUCCUAGCCACCGUGCUUCUACACCUGCAUUGCUUGCUGUUUGGGGUUUUAGGCUGGGUUUCUGUACAGCACUUUGAGAUAUCAGCUGAUGUAAGAAGGGCUAUAUAAAUACAUUUGAUUUGAUUUGAUGAUAUACCACACCUCCUCUGGCCUUAUUGCUUCAUUCUUGUGAGUUGUUUCAGGGUGGCUGUAUGGUACAAGAGGAAGGCAUGAGCUACCCCAGAAACAGGCAGUAUUGAUAGAACAUUUAGCAACGCUGCUAAUCUGAAUAUCAGACACACACACGGUUGAAUAAGUGGCACAGAAAGCUGUUUAUAUGUUGAAAGAGUCUGGUGUUUGAGUGGUGGAAGGGGUCGACUGUAGGGGUUUGAGGGGGAGGUUCAGGGUUACAGCCAGGGAUAUAAUUUAAUUCCCUCAGCUUCAGCAGUGAAAUACCUUGCUUGUGUAAAUCACCCGGAGGGACAACAGAGGUCAUGAAGGUGACACCUAUGAGGCACUAAGGGUUCAUAAUGGAAAGAUGUGGCUGGACACACUGUCUCUGGGUACAUUUUUACCCAUAACACAUUGCUCUCAUGUACCCUUUGGUAAUCCCCUCUGAUUCGAAUGCGCUGCAGAACCUCGACUACUAAUCCAUCAGACCAGGGCGACAGGUGGUUUGGUUAGAGAGUUGGGCCAGUAACCGAAAGGUUGCUGGGUUGAAUCCCCGAGCUGACAAGGUAAAACAUCUGUUGUUCUGCCCCUGAACAAGGCAGAUAACCCACUGUUCCCCGGUAGGCUGACAUUGUAAAUAAGAAUUUGUUCUUAACUGACUUGCCUAGUUAAAUAAAAAAUAAAUACAAAAGGUUUCUGUGUUGUGACAGAGGCUUACUGCGUCUUAUUUUGAUUAAAGUACAUUUAUAUUAACAGAGAGA